This is a non-coding RNA of Geobacter sp. M18, 82 nucleotides long. Lineage: Bacteria; Pseudomonadati; Thermodesulfobacteriota; Desulfuromonadia; Geobacterales; Geobacteraceae. The record is from Rfam.
CUACCGGCGUCGAGAGACGUCGGGAUGGGUUGGCAGAAGUCAGCAGAGGCCAUACGAGCCGGAAGACCGACCGGCAAAGGGC